GGAGAGAUGGCCGAGUGGUCGAAGGCGCGCGCCUGCUAAGUGCGUGAUCCGAUUCGGAUCCGAGGGUUCGAAUCCCUCUCUCUCCGCCA
RNAcentral lists this transfer RNA (89 nucleotides) under Dethiosulfovibrio marinus. RNAcentral describes it as "tRNA-Ser". It matches the Rfam family "tRNA". Rfam says of the family: Transfer RNA (tRNA) molecules are approximately 80 nucleotides in length. Their secondary structure includes four short double-helical elements and three loops (D, anti-codon, and T loops). Further hydrogen bonds mediate the characteristic L-shaped molecular structure. tRNAs have two regions of fundamental functional importance: the anti-codon, which is responsible for specific mRNA codon recognition, and the 3' end, to which the tRNAs corresponding amino acid is attached (by aminoacyl-tRNA synthetases). tRNAs cope with the degeneracy of the genetic code in two manners: having more than one tRNA (with a specific anti-codon) for a particular amino acid; and 'wobble' base-pairing, i.e. permitting non-standard base-pairing at the 3rd anti-codon position. RNAcentral also lists the same sequence under 5 other names. Lineage: Bacteria; Thermotogati; Synergistota; Synergistia; Synergistales; Dethiosulfovibrionaceae. The record is from RNAcentral.